GACGAACCGUGCGAACGUUGUUCGGAAUCACUGGGCUUAAAGGGCGCGUAGGCGGGCCGUCAAGUCAGGGGUGAAAGCCCCCAGCUCAACUGGGGAAGUGCCUUUGAUACUGACGAUCUCGAGGGAGGUAGGGGCGUGCGGAACUUCCGGUGGAGCGGUGAAAUGCGUAGAUAUCUGGAGGAACACCGGUGGCGAAGGCGGCGUUCUGGACUGCAACUGACACUGAGAGACGAAAGCCAGGGGAGCAAACGGG
RNAcentral lists this ribosomal RNA (253 nucleotides) under uncultured bacterium. Its description in RNAcentral is "partial 16S ribosomal RNA". It matches the Rfam family "Bacterial small subunit ribosomal RNA", at positions 524 to 776 of the family's 1533-position model. The record is from RNAcentral.